AGGAACAAAAGUGCAAAAAAGCAGUAAACCUACAGUUUUUGGAGUAGUAAAGCCAACUAUAAUCCUUGACGAUAUCUACUAUCCACAAGCUACCUCGGGUCUGAAAGGGUUGAAAAAGAAGGUAGUGAGAUUAUAAAAUCCUAGUGAGUAAAUAGAUACCAUCUAAACCAUCUAAAGUCGAGUAAAUGGAGAUAGAUAAAAUAGUUUAACAUACUGAAAUUCAUCACCUUUCAACUUGUUUCAACUAAAUAAAAUGAAUUCAUAUAAAUCGAGUAAUUAACAUGGCUUAUGAAUUUCUUAAAAGAUUUGGCUCGUGCCAAAAUCAUUCUCAUACUUAGUUAUCAGGGAUACCUUGGCCGCGGGCUAUCCCAAACCGAGUCCGCCAAGGCUAUAAAAAAGUUAUGUACUCCUAAAUCAUGUUUUUUAUUUUUAAAAUAUAGUUGUUCUUUGGCAUUGGCUAAGUUCGCCUUCACGUGGUGGUUUGGCGUGAAGUGAACUCUAAAAGUUAUACCUCAGGAGUUGCCCUACUCGCCUCUCCAACCGAGGUAAGAAUAUGACCAGGUUCAGUGCCCCUUUAAUCGACUAGUCCACAAAACCAGCCCACUGCAGCAAGCUAAACCUACCAUACAAUAAAAUUUGCAACAACAUGAUAUGACAAUUUUAUCAUUAUCCAGCCUAUCAAGGCAAACAAUAGUUUAUACAUUUCAACACAAAUACCAAUUUAGCCAUUCAUGCCAAUAUUGUCAUAAGCCAAUCAAUUAGAACCAUAAAUUCACAAUACAUCAAAUGGUCUCCAAUUACUCUAUUUGAAAAGCCAUUAUUCAAUUUUAAAAUAAUUUUAUGAAAUCAUUUCACUAAAUCACAUUUUGUUUAUAAAAUCGAAAGAUUAAUCAUUUAAUUCAUUUUCCAUGAAAUUCACAAAAUCGGAUAAAAAUCACUUUAGAUAAUUAAGACGAUAGUAAGGUUACUCACAAUACUAGGAGUUCGAUAUACUCCUAUUCCCGAUCUUCGGGCACAAUCUCUUUACCCUUGUUAGAGGGCUCACCACUUAUACAUCAUACGUGACACGAAUUUUAAUAAAUUGUGUCAAUGUAUCAUAAACUAUUUCAGGCUCUAUAAAUCUAUAUGAAUGAAGGAAAUGUGAUGCAAAAUGUCCGAAUAGCCGUUUAAAUACGAUAUUCGACCUAAUUCGCACUAUUCUCAGUGUAAUUAGCUAAAACCUCCAAUUUAACUCUAAAUCGAUUUCUUUCACUUUCUACACUCCAAUUAUACUUAAAAUACCUCAAUGAUUGUGAAUAUGAUUCAAUUUAUCAGUCCAAACCAUAAAUCGCACAUGUCUAUACAUUAGGUAAAAAUUCAUAUUUUCAUGCCAAAAUUUCCCAUUAAAUUUCUAGCCUCACCAAUCAUUAAAUACCACCAAAAUAUCAUGAAAUAUCAUCAAUUUCAGCCUUAAUAUUCUCCCUAGAAAAUUUGGCCUCUUGUGGGUUUGUGAAGAACAAAGUGAUUCCUUGCUAGAUUUUCAUACUUUCCAUUACCAAACAACCAAAAACACUUAAUUAGCUUGAAAUCUAGCAAAAUCAAUGCUCAAAACCUCUCCUCUCAAAUUCGGCCAGCAUGGGUUCAUCAUGCAAACUUGAGUUCUAAGCAUGAAAAAUGAAAAAGAAAGCAUGGGUAGUGUAAAUCACAAGAUCAAAUCACAAAAUUUUACCUUUAUUAGCUUAAUCCCUUGAAAUCCCACACUUUUUCUUCAAUUUUCCCACCUAGGGUUUCUGUUCUCUCCUUUCCUCUUCCUUUGUUCUUCUUUUGCCGGCCAUAUAAUAAGAAAUGGGCUGAUUUUAUGCUAAUUUAUAAGGAAAAUAAUGAAUGGAUGAGAUUUUGACACAUGUUACCAUUCCAUUGGUCCAUGUGUCAUACUUAGCCAUUAAGCAAUCUCUCUCCAUUGCUUAAAUUUCCUUAAUUAUCCAUGAUAAUAUUGGGUAAAAUCCAUGUGAUGGACAAGUGUUGGGUGGUGUAAAAUUACAAUUUUGCCCUUGGGCUAUAAAAGGACUAUUUUACCCUUAUGCUCGAAAAAAUGUCGAAAUUAAAAUUCUUCACUUCUCAAACUCAAAUUAUACUCCCAAUGAUCAAUCUUAGUCAAAAUUUCCUGCCAACACUCACAUUUUAACCUCGGGUGGCAAAAUGACCAUUUUGCCCCUAGAACAUGAAAAUUCCAAAUUGGCUCCAAUUCAGCCCUCAAACUCCAAAUCAUCAUUUUAAGUCAUUCUGGGGUUUUAAAAUUCUCAAUUUCAUCUUAAGAUCUCUAUGUAGACUAGUUUGAGGCUUAAUUCAACUUAAUAGUACCAUUUAGUACAAUAUCGACUUUUGAUGAUUUUUUGGGGCUUUCCAAGUAUGCAAACAUGCUAUCCAUCACAUGUAUGUCAUGACAAGUAUUUUAUAAGGUUGUGCUUUACAGCACUACCACCCUUAAAAUAAAAUUUUGACCUCAAAAUUUCACUUACCGAAUUCCAAGAAAAGAUAUGGAUAUCGGUCUCUCAUCUGGUGCUCGACUUCCCACGUCAUCUCUUCCAUUCGAGCAUUUUGUGGCAUCCCCCUCGAGGGCCCACUCCAAGGUAUUGUUAUAUUCGGGUCCCCAUCACUUGACUUACUCGUAUUCGCCACACCUAAGGGUGGCACGACAGGCCUUGCAGGACCUUCUUGCCAAGCUUCGAACCCGAGACCUUUUGCUCCCCCUAAAGGGAACGCUUUUAACCAUUAGGAUGUUUUUAUUCCUCAACACUCGAUCCUUUUGAUCUCGAAUACGUACAGGUUGCAUCUAAGUCAAAUCAUCCUUAAAUCAUCAAUCAUGCAUGUUUACUUAACUAUCCACAAUUUCUCUACCUUGAUCUUUUAUCAAACCUUCCAACAUUCAAGCAUUUCAUAAUACAUAAGGAUCAAACACCUUUUAUUUAUCCAUAGAUAUAUAUUUAACAUCACAGAUAAUUCAAAUUUGAUAACCAUUAGUAACCAUAUUCUCAAAAAGAAACUCUCGUACUUUUAUGAUCAAGUACUUAUUAAGUAAAUCUCGAACCACUAAAACCAUUCUUCAUUUUAGUUGGGUACAUCACUAACUCCACAUAUACGUAUACACGCACAUUCAAGUGUCCAUAUUCCUCAUUAUGUAUACGGGUCUCAAUUUUCAAAUGCCUUCAGACUAAUUUCUCUUUGUUCAUUCCCAUCCAUAAUCAAGAUUCAAUAGAAAAAUCUUCAUAAUUCAUACAAUUUCUCAUCAUGCCUUUGCAUAGUUCCACAUUAUUUACAUACUUAUACUAUCUUCUUAUCAUUUCCACUUAUAUGCUUAAGUUUCUUUGUACUAUAUAUCAUUGCAUCACAAUGUCAUCUCCUUUGAAUUAUAAUCUAUUAUGCAUGUAUGCUUUAUAAUCCCAUUAAUACUUCAAAGAUUUAUCUUAACUUGAUCAUUGCAUUUUAUGCAAUACCACAAUUCCUAAGAGUCAUCCUUUUUCCUCAAUUAUCCUUCAUGCCUCUUACAUAUAUUGUAUCCUUAUUGCAUUCCGAUAUUGAUUUGUCACUUAAAACUCGGACUCAUUUGAAUCAUGUAUGCCUCAAUCAUUUUCGAAUUCCAAUUUCCAUAAUAUAUUAGGAAAGUUUAAUUAUCCGACUUCAUUAUCAAGGUCAACUUCUAUCAUCCUUUGUUCCACUCUUUGAUAUGAAUAUAACAUCAUUCUUCCUUAACUAAUUUACAAAUUGUACUUGAAAUUGCAAAACUUGAAACUAGAUUCUCCUCAAGUAUUUUUCAAUAUUAAUACUAAUAUCACUCCCAACUUAUAGCUUCCUUUUUAUAACCACAUAACUUAGUGCUUGCUUUCACGAGAUCCAUGGCAGAACUUCUCUUGAGUAUUUCCUUGGGGAUAUCUAUCUUAAACUUAUGUCUCACAGCAGGUGAUCACUUAACUCGUGACUUAGCCAUUUGGCUCCUUAGCAAGUUUCAAAGUCAUGCAUCUUAUACUCAUCACGUAUAAUUUAUAAUUCUUUCUCAAAGGUGUUUAAACAUUCUUGAAACCCUUAAUCACUUAUUUACUCUUUCAUACUCCAAGUAUAUCAUUUCCAUAAAGGCAUGCCCAACUACUCAUGCUUCAACUUAUCUCUAAGGGUUUCUAGCAUACCCCGUAGUUUACUUGUGUUGUCACUAAUCCUUUCCUUUCAACAAGGUCAAGACAAGAUUAGUAAAUUCUCAUAACAAUAUUCUAUAUAAACUCAUUUGCUAUAUCAUUCUUGAAAUCUCCAUUCACACUCUCAUCACUUGGUAUUGACAUCUCUUAUCAACAUCUCAUAUAUUCAUCUAACCUUUCCCUCACUUCCUCUUUAACCUUUUACAAGAUUUACUUUAUUUCUUAAGAUUUGACUUUAGUUAACAUAUUAUUCAUCUUAAUACUCCACAUAUUAAUUUAUUUAUUUAUUGUUUUAUGUAGCCAUCUCAAAAACUCUCUAACUUUUCUUUCUCUUACAUGCCUAUAUAUAAGGCAAUAAAGAAACUCUGCAAUUUCACUCAUCAUUUUUAUCUUAAUACCUCCCCAAUGCACUUAAGACUCCAAACAACAAAGCUUAGCAUCAAAACCAAUAACCAUAUUUCAACUCGUAAGGUUCAUCUUUAUGCCACUCACAGUUUGCUCUUGCUUUCUAGCCAUUAGGGGUUCUUAACGCGGCAACAUUUGAUAGUCAGUACUGUGGCGUUGUAACUAUUUGAAUUCACUUUAUCCCAACAACUCUUCCACCUUUAAAGCUACUACCUCAAUUAUUCACAAUCGUGUGGCUUCCCUCUGAGUCUAUACCACAAUUAGCAAGACUACCUUUCUAUCACAAGUAUGCGAUCAGAACAUUGAUUUAAUGUAUUUAUUUUGCCACUAGCAUUCAUAUAUCUUUACCAUAACAUUUAGUACAAGUUUGCUUAAGUAAAAAUCUCCAAAUUUGUUCAUAGCUACAUGUAUCUCAGAUUGCACAUCACUUAUCAUCAGUCAAUAAAUCCCACUUUAGAAUACUCUUUCCAUAUUGUAUGGUAACUUCACUAUAUAGUAUCACGGCGCUAUGUUCCUCCAUUCUACUAUUAUGCACACUCCACAAAAAUUAAUUAAAAGAUUUACAGACCUUAACUAAUGCUAAUUCCAUUUAAUCAUAUCUUAAAUACUCCAAACUUGUAAAUUACAACUCCAAGUGUAUGUCCAUAUAUUGAUAAUCUUUAUAUAUUUCAUGAUCAUGAAAACUACAACUUACAAACUAGCUUUCUAUCAUAUGCACACUAUUAGAACAUUAACUUCAACAUGUUUAAUUCUCCUUUGGUGGUAUGUUAAGAUCAUUCCUGGAUACAUUUUCAUAUUAACAUUGAUAUGUCUUUACCAUAGCAUUUAGUGCAAAUUUGAUGAAGGAAUUGUCUCCAAAUAACUCUUAAAUACAUAAUUAUCAAAUUGUAUACCACUAAAUGUUAAGAUCUUGACUUUAUUCAUCAAUAACCAAUCACAUUUAUUAAGUGAAUAAUUUACUUAGUUAUUACACCUUGCCUUUGCGAUCAUAAGAUCAAAGUUGUCCUAAACUUAGGAUGCAGAAGUUCUCUCUCUUAGAGUAUACCCAAACAUCAACAUUUUCUAAAUUCCUUACUUUGCGGAGAUCACCUUCAAGAUUGAUCAUUCGUAUCAUAGGCCACACUUUGAACCAAAUAAACUUUUAAAUUGAUCUUUCAAGUAAUUCAUAUAUCAGUCUCAAUUAUAGAACUUCUUAUGGCACUUAGACUAGAUUUGACAUUUCUAAAUCAUUUAACCUAAAGCUGCCAAUUCCACAUCUAGUCCUUCAAUCCCUUGGCUCCCCCUUUUUCUAUGCAUAGCAAAGUUCAAGCUCAUCCUUAGAGCAGAUUUGUUUACUAAUUUCUUACUUCAUGACCACACAUCAAUUAUAGUAAUCAUUGAUACUCACUCUCGAGUUAAUUCAUGUGCUUAUAUCCAUGAAUUAUAAUAGGUCCAAUUAAUUCUUGAAAUCUCACAAUCGCUUAAUUGUAAUCAACACCAGUUCCCUCUAAGCUGUUGUACCAAUUCAACACAUAUUCACAUAUAAAAUAUUUCAAAAUCCCAACACCACUUUUAUAUGGGCAUAACAAGCUCAAUUAACAUAGUGUUCUUAUCUUCAUGCACAGAGUAUGGGUUCACUCUUACCUCAAUGCUUAAUUUAUACACUCCAAGUGAAUUACAAUCAUCACUAUUCAUUCUAAUCAACGUGCGUCCCUUAUUACCAUUAUCACACGUGCUCCUUUAUAUUAACCCCAAUACAAUCCAUAGUCCCCAAAUCUUUCUCUAAUUGACAAUCAUGAGUUCAAUUAUAACUCCACCAAAUGAAUAAAUUAUCACAGCCUAUUAGUCCAACUCUAAAUUUCUCUAUCCUUAAUCGGAGGGAUAUAUCAUUUCAUUAAUCUUUCAUUAGAAGCAUUUGUUUUAAGAUCUCUAUAACACUGGCUCGUGUCACGGGUGGCAUCUUAAACUCGGACAACAACCUUACUUAUACUCCUUUGCAUGACAUUAACAAGGAAGUGGAUUACUGGGAACAAGAGUUCAUAUAGCUCCUUGUCUAUGACUUAUGCUCCCAUAAGAUCUAUAAGAAGAAACAGAACGAAUCUAAACAACUCCAAAUUCUAUGUGCAGAUGCACAUAUUCUAUUUUAUCAAACCUAACUUAACUUAACUCGGGGCCACACUGACACUGUAAAUUCUUUUUGUAAAACAACUUUAAAACCAAAAGCUUUGAUACCAAUAGAAUUGUCAAGACCCGGUACUCCCCUCGAGCCCAUGACAACCGCCGCGACUUCUCGGUAGACAUUCGUUACCCGGAGUGCCAACCGGAACCCCGCAAGGCUUUAGUACCAUUUUUUUCAUCUCCCUUGUGAGUAAUCAUUGCCAAACCUCAUUUUUAAAGAAUUUUAAGCUUUUUCCCUUUCAAAACUGUGGAAAAAUAAUUUUUGCCUCGCAGGAGCAUUUUCGUCAUUUUUCCUCAAAAUUUCUCGAACCCGACUAAAGAUGUAGUAGAUAAGUGGAAAACACAUAUUUCAUGAUUUAAAAUAAAUUUGGGUGUCUAAAACAUUUAUUAAAAAUGAUAUUGCAACUAUUUGAAUAAAAUAAAAAUAUCAAUAAAAUAUUCUAAUUUCUUGUAAAACAAUAUUUAUAGAGUCAUCGAUAAAUAAUUUUUUUUAAUGUAAAAGUUAAAUAAAUUCAUACGUACUAUAAUACAGAUAACCAGGAUAUGAAAUUUACUUUACAGUGACUCAUGGGCCCACAAGGAACAAAAGUGCACAAAGGCAAUAAACCUACAGUUUUUGGAGUAGUAAAGCCAACUAUAAUCCUUAACGAUAUCUGUUAUCCACAGGCUACCUCGGGCCUGAAAAGGUUGAAAAAGAGGAUGGCAAGAUUAUAAAAUCUCAGUGAGUAAACAGAUACCAUCUAAACCAUCUAAAGUCAAGUAAAUGGAGACAGAUAAAAUAGUUUAAGAUACUGAAAUUCAUCACCUUUCAACUUGUUUCAACCAAAUAAAAUCAAUUCAUAUAAAUCGAGUAAUUAACAUGGCUUAUGAAUUUCUUAAAAGAUUUGGCUCAUGCCAAAAUUAUUCUCAUACUCAGUUAUCAGGGAUACUUUUGCCGCGGGCUAUCCCAAACCGAGUUUGCCAAGGCUAUUAAAAAGUUAUGUACUCAUAAAUCAUGUUUUUUAUUUUAAAAAUUUAGCCGUUCCUUGGCGUUGGCUGAGUUCGCCCUCACGUGGUCGUUUGGCAUGAAGUGAACUCUAAAAGUUAUACCUCGGGGAGUUACCCUACUCGCCUCUCCAGCCGAGGUAAAAAUAUAACCAGGUUCUGUGCCCCUCUAAUCGGCUAGUCCACAAAACCAACCCACUGCAGCAAGCUAAACCCACCAUACAAUAAAAUUUGCAACAGCAUGACAUGGCAAUUUUAUCAUUAUCCAGCCUAUCAAGGCAAACAACAAUUUAUACAUUUCAACACAAAUACCAAUUUAGCCAUUCAUGCCAAUAUUGUCAUAAGCCAAUCAAUUAGAACCAUAAAUUCACAAUACAUCAAAUGGUCUCCAAUUACUCUAUUUGAAAAGCUAUUAUUCAAUUUUAAAACAAUUUUAUGAAAUCAUUUCACUAAAUCACAUUUUGUUUAUAAAAUCGAAAAAUUAAUCAUUUAAUUCAUUUUCCAUGAAAUUCACAAAAUCGGAUAAAAACCACUUUAGAUAAUUAAGACGAUAGUAAGGUUACUCACAAUACUAGGAGUUCGAUAUACUCCUAUUUCUGAUCUUCGGGCACAAUCUCUUUACCCUUGUUAGAGGGCUCACCACUUAUACAUCAUACGUGACACGAAUUUCAAUAAAUUGUGUCAAUGUAUCAUAAACUAUUUCAGGCUCUAUAAAUCUAUAUGAAUGCACGAAAUGUGAUGCAAAAUGUCCGAAUAGCCGUUUAAAUACGAUAUUCGACCUAAUUCGCACUAUUCUCGAUGUAAUUGGCUAAAACCUCCAAUUUAACUCUAAAUCGAUUUCUUUCACUUUUUACACUCCAAUUUUACUUAAAAUAGCUCAAUGACUGUGAAUAUGAUUCAAUUUAUUAGUCCGAACCAUAAAUCGCACAUGUUUAUACAUUAGGUAAAAAUUCAGAUUUUCAUGCCAAAAUUUCCCAUUAAAUUUCUAGCCUCACCAAUCAUUAAAUACCACCAAAAUAUCAUAAAAUAUCAUCAAUUUCAGCCUUAAUAUUCUCCCUAGAAAAUUUGGCCUCUUGUGGGUUUGUGAAGAACAAAGUGAUUCCUUGCUAGAUUUUCAUACUUUCCAUUACCAAACAACCAAAAACACUUAAUUAGCUUGAAAUCUAGCAAAAUCAAUGCUCAAAACCUCUCCUCUCAAAUUCGGCCAGCAUGGGUUCAUCAUGCAAACUUGAGUUCUAAGCAUGGAAAAUGAAAAAGAAAGCUUGGGUAGUGUAAAUCACAAGAUAAAAUCAUAAAAUUUUACCUUUAUUAGCUUAAUCCCUUGAAAUCCCACACUUUUUCUCCAAUUUUCCCACCUAGGGUUUGUGUUCUCUCCUUUCCUCUUCCUUUGUUCUUCUUUGGC
Molecule: long non-coding RNA, 9114 nt
Filed under: Theobroma cacao (cacao)
Lineage: Eukaryota; Viridiplantae; Streptophyta; Magnoliopsida; Malvales; Malvaceae
Description: long non-coding RNA (TCAC_LNC004645)
Source: RNAcentral